UGUCGGAUGACAGUUAACUGGGAAAACAAACAUCCCGUUUUCUAAUCUUACCGUCCACUGUCCCUUUGACUUUUUCUGCUCUACAGACAGACAGGAUGGAUUUCGGAUUUCGCUGCCCCGUUAUCCUUUGCCUAACCCUGGCGGUUUUGGCCUCGGUUCUGGCCGAUUUGGAUGACCCUUUAAUGGGGGCACCCGGGUCUUCUGUCCGUUUAUCGGAAAACGACCCAGGUUUGAAGAAGGCACUGAAGUUUGCAGAGGACCGCUAUAACAUGGGGUCCAAUACGAUGCACGUUCGUAGAGUUAGCAAGAUCCUCUCUGCCAGUAAACAGCUGGUGAAGGGAAUCCGAUACAGCAUCAUGGUGGAGCUAAGUAACACCCAGUGUAAGAAGGCUGCCAGACUGAUGACCUGUGACUUCUACCCAGAGGAACACAACCUGAAGACGGAGGUGUGUGUGUUUGAGGUCUGGGACAUUCCCUGGGAGAGGAAGUCCACCCUGCUCAAACAGAAAUGCCAGCAAGCAGUUGAUCCCAAACCAGUUGAGACCAACAAAGUAGAAUUUCUGUCCCUCUCCACCAGCAAACCAGUUGAGGAGACAGAGUAUUUAGUGGAGCUUCUGGGCCAGUUCAAAGAGUUCAUGGUCAGAUACAAUAGGACUUACAGCAGCAAAGAGGUCACUGAGCGGCGGCUGCGUAUCUUCCAUGAGAACCUGAAGACCGCUGAGAAGCUCCAGUCUCUGGAUCUGGGCACAGCCGAGUACGGGGUCACCAAGUUCAGCGACCUCACAGAGGAGGAGUUUAGGACUCUGUACCUGAACCCCCUGCUGAGCCAGCAGAAAUUUCAGCGGUCCAUGAAGCCUGCAGCCAUGACCCACAGCCCCGCCCCGCCUAGCUGGGACUGGAGAGAGCAUGGAGCUGUCAGCCCUGUCAAGAACCAGGGCAUGUGUGGUUCUUGCUGGGCAUUCUCAGUGACAGGAAACAUUGAGGGCCAGUGGUUUGUGAAAACGGGUAAACUAGUGUCUCUCUCUGAGCAAGAGCUGGUGGACUGUGAUACUGUGGACCAGGCCUGUGGGGGCGGGCUUCCAUCAAAUGCAUAUGAAGCCAUCGAGAAGCUGGGUGGUCUGGAGACAGAGACUGACUACAGCUACACCGGCAAGAAGCAGAGCUGCGACUUCACCACCGACAAAGUCACUGCCUACAUCAACAGCUCCGUGGAGCUGUCCAAGGACGAGAACGAAAUUGCUGCUUGGCUGGCUGAGAAUGGACCAGUAUCUGUGGCCCUGAAUGCCUUCGCAAUGCAGGUUCAGGAGAGGCGAAGGUCAAGUCAUGCGUCUACCGAAACAUGACCCGCUUAACCACACUUCUUUACACCCGCCCGCUUAACCCGGAAGCCAGCUGCACCAAUGUGUUGGAGGAAACACAGUUCAACUGACGACCGAAGUCAGCCUGCAGGCACCCCGCCAGUCACAAGUAGUUGCUAGAGCGCAAUGAGCUAAGUAAAGCCGCCCUGGCCAAACCCUCCCCUAACCCGGACGAUGCUGAGCCAAUUGUGCGCCACUCCUGGUCACAGCCAUUUGUGACACAGCCUAGGAUCGAACCCGGGUCUGUCGUGAUGCCUCAAGUACAGCGACCGCUGCGUCACUCGGGAGGCCUGUCAUAUCUUUCUUAAUGGAACUGAAAUUAGCAUCACUAAAACACAACUGAACAAUGAAGUGACUAGUAUCUAUCUUUCUAAUCCCACCUGCUUUUCUCUCGUUGUUUGUCCUCAGUUUUACAGGAAGGGCGUGUCCCACCCUCUGAAGAUCUUCUGCAACCCCUGGAUGAUUGACCAUGCAGUGCUGCUCGUGGGCUACGGAGAACGUCAAGGCAAACCUUUCUGGGCUAUCAAGAACAGCUGGGGAGAGGACUAUGGAGAACAGGGUUACUACUACCUGUACAGAGGAUCCAGGCUCUGUGGAAUCAACAAGAUGUGCUCAUCUGCUAUUGUGAACUAGGCGAUAUGACACACACGCGCGAGCGCACACACACACGUGAUCUGAAUAAUAUUUUAUUUCAAUCUUCACCUGGGAUAAAAAAAAUAAAAAAAUCCUACACCCCCCCAAACAUACACACACACACUACCUACAAACUGAUAGAACUGCAACGUUACUCAUCCCCUACCUUAAUUGUGUAGUCAGAACACUGCAUAAUGCACUGGAAAACCUGCUGACAGCUUACUUAAAUAGGGGAGGCAGCAUUUAUUCAUACCCCAUUCUUCUCUUUCAAAACAAACCAGCUCCGAUGAAGCUAUAGUUCUAAGGUAACACUGAUCUUUUGUUGUGAUUUUACUACUAGCCUUUAAGGAUAUUUUAAUUGAAUUGCUGUGUUUUAGGCAGAGGUCAUUUCAGUCAUCUCUUUACAAUAACAGAGUCUAAAUGAUAAAGGGGAUGUCAUAUAUUUAGACUUCAGUCAUGCUGUUUAGUGUCCGUUAUGUUCCCCUGCAUCUGACUACUCUCUGUGCGGAUGCUCUAGUGUAGAAUUAAUGCUUGUGCAUUUUUGCUAGACUUUUCGUCUGUUGUAACAUGUUCUGUGCAAUACCACAUAACGUCAAUCUCUCCCCUCAGUUUAAAACUUACAACUUCACUGUGCAAGUACUUAUAAUGAAUGGGUUUGCAUGUUUUUAUUUUAUUUUAAAAGGAUCAUACAUUGACUGAUGUGUAGCCUAUUAACUGUUAAAUAUUGCAGUGCUGUGUAACUAGACAAACUAAGGUUUACUAAAAAAAAAAAAAUUGAUCCAUUAAUAAAAAAAAAUAUCAUAUU
This is an RNA transcript of Oncorhynchus mykiss (rainbow trout), 2796 nucleotides long. It is a transcript of the gene named cathepsin F, with no coding region annotated. The record is from RefSeq and is a predicted model, not a curated record. NCBI's taxonomy places the organism in Eukaryota, Metazoa, Chordata, Actinopteri, Salmoniformes, Salmonidae.